RNAcentral lists this ribosomal RNA (339 nucleotides) under Triticum aestivum (bread wheat). RNAcentral describes it as "partial small subunit ribosomal RNA". The record is from RNAcentral. Lineage: Eukaryota; Viridiplantae; Streptophyta; Magnoliopsida; Poales; Poaceae.
GACUUCUCCGUUUAUGGAUCCUCUUUUGAUGAUUGUUUGAGCAACCUUGAUCGAGUUUUGCAGAGAUGCGAAGACACUAGUCUCAUCCUGAAUUGGGAAAAGUGUCACUUUAUGGUUAAUGAACGCAUUGUCUUGGGGCAUAAGAUUUCCGAGAGGGGUAUUGAAGUUGACAAAGCCAAAGUUGAUGCUAUUGAAAAUAUGCCAUGUCCCAAGGACAUAAAAGGUAUAAGAAGUUUCCUUGGUCAUGCCGUUUUUUAUAGGAGGUUCAUUAAGGACUUCUCUAAAAUCUCUAGGCCUCUGACUAAUUAUUGCAAAAAGAUAUUCCUUUUGUGUUUGAUG